AGGUGAAACCGCGAAUGGCUCAUUAAAUCAGUUAUGGUUCCUUAGAUCGUUCCUAACUACUUGGAUAACUGUGGUAAUUCUAGAGCUAAUACAUGCAGCAGAGCUCCGACCUUCGGGGACGAGCGCUUUUAUUAGACAAGACCAGUCGGGCCGUGUCCGUUACUUGGUGACUCUGGAUAACCUUUGGCUGAUCGCACGGACUCGUUCCGGCGACGCAUCUUUCAAGUGUCUGCCUUAUCAACUGUCGACGGUUGGUCAAAUGCCAACCGUGGUUGUAACGGGUGACGGGGAAUCAGGGUUCGAUUCCGGAGAGGGAGCCUGAGAAACGGCUACCAGUUCUAAGGAAGGCAGCAGGCGCGCAAAUUACGCCAUGGGAGUCUCCCGACGUAGUGACGAAAAAUAACAAUACGGGACUCUUUUGAGACCCCGUAAUUGGAAUGAGUACAAUCUAAAUCCUUUAACGAGGAUCCAUUGGAGAGCAAGCCUAGUGCCAGCUGUCGCGGUAAUACUAGUUCCAAUAGCGUAUAUUAAAGUUGUUGCGGUUAAAAAGCUCGUAGUUGGAUCUCAGUUCCAGUCGGGCGCUCCGCCUUGCGGCGGUAAGCGCACGUUCUGAACAACCAGUCGGUCAACCUAGAUGAUCUUCACCGGUUGUCAUGGGUGACCGUCGCUUUUACUUUGAAAAAAUUAGAGUGCUCAAAGCAGGCGUGACGCCUGAACAAAUGUGCAUGGAAUAAUGGAAUAGGACCUCGGUUCUGUUCUGUUGGUUUUCUGAACUCGAGGUAAUGAUUAAGAAGGACGAAUGGGGCCAUCAGUACAGGCGCACGAGGGGUGAAAUCCUGUGACUGCGUCUUGACUAACAGGAGCGAAAGCGUAUGGCAAAUACGUUUUUAUUAAUCAAGAACGAAAGUUGGGGGUCCGAAGGCGAUCAGAUACCGCCCUAGUCCUAACCAUAAACGAUGCCAACCAGCGAUCCGCCCGAGUUCCUAAAAUGACUCGGCGGGCAGCUUCCGGGAAACCACAGUUGGGUUCCGGGGGGAAUAUGGUUGCAAAACUGAAACUUGAAGGAAUUGACGGAGAGGCACUACAAGGAAUGGAUUAUGCGGCCUAAUUCGACUCAACACGGGAGAGCCUACUAUGCCAGGACACAAAAAGGAUUGACAGAUUAAGAGCUCUUUCUCGAUCUUGUGCAUUGUGGUGCAUGGCCAUUUCUAGUUGGUGGAAUGAUUUGUCAGGUCUAUUUCGAUAACGAGCGAGACCCUAGCCUACUAAAUAGCCGAGCCGGUCAGUCCAGCCGGACGGCUUCUUAGAGGGACAAGCGGCGUCUAGCCGUACGAGACAGGGCGACAAUAGGUCUGAAAUGCCCGUAGAUGUCAUAGGCAGCACGCGUGAUACCAUGAGGGAGUCAGCGUGUGAUAUCCCUGUCCGACAGGACUGGGUAACCCGAUGAACCUCCUUCGUGAUUGGGAUAGGGGCUUGUAAUUAUUCCCCUUGAACGAGGAAUUCCAAGUAAGCAUGGCUCAUUAGGCCGUGUUGAUUAUGUCACUGCCUCUUGUGCACACCGCCCGUCGCUGUCUUCGAUUGAACGGAUUAGUGAGGUCUCCGGACAGGCGCCCGGAGCGGCCUCGCGGUCGCGACGGAGUGCCGGAAAGUUGACCGAACUUGUC
Molecule: ribosomal RNA, 1664 nt
Filed under: Falcileptoneta musculina
Lineage: Eukaryota; Metazoa; Arthropoda; Arachnida; Araneae; Leptonetidae
Description: SSU rRNA
Rfam family: Eukaryotic small subunit ribosomal RNA
Source: RNAcentral